RNAcentral lists this unclassified non-coding RNA (456 nucleotides) under Stutzia covillei. Its description in RNAcentral is "partial external transcribed spacer". The record is from RNAcentral. Lineage: Eukaryota; Viridiplantae; Streptophyta; Magnoliopsida; Caryophyllales; Amaranthaceae.
GCAGGAUCAACCAGGUAGCACUCCUCGUUCGACACCGGCACGCAUGAGCCCUCCCUUUUGACGAGGAGGGUCAACUCGUGCGCGGACGUCGUCCGUGCUUAGCGUAAAAACGCUUAACUAGGUAUGCGACGAAUGAACGCCCAUUCCCCCUCAACAUUCUGCAUCCCGGGGCACAACUAGGAUCCGUACACCUGACCAACAACGCUUGGUUUUCGCCAUUGAGGUAGGAGGACGGGCCCAGCUACACAGGUCCACCGAACACCCCGAAGGAUGUCUGACGGAAUCAAACGAUUAUAAUGGACAACAAUACCGUCAUUAGGAAUAAAACACAGAAAACCGUACCUCGCCCAAGGCUUAUUGCACUUGGAGCAAACACUGAAGAGGUUUAUCAGCGUGCGGUUCGAUGCACAAGCAUGGAGCCCGCCAGCCAAAAAAACCAAUCACCACUCACACGUG